UUAAGCGACUAAGCGUACACGGUGGAUGCCCUGGCAGUCAGAGGCGAUGAAGGACGUGCUAAUCUGCGAAAAGCGCCGGCGAGGUGAUAUGAACCUUUGACCCGGCGAUGUCCGAAUGGGGAAACCCAGUGCAAUUCGUUGCACUAUCGUUAACUGAAUACAUAGGUUAACGAGGCGAACCGGGGGAACUGAAACAUCUAAGUACCCCGAGGAAAAGAAAUCAACCGAGAUUCCCCCAGUAGCGGCGAGCGAACGGGGAGCAGCCCGGAGUCUGAAUCAGCUUGUGUGUUAGUGGAACGGUCUGGAAAGUCCGACGGUACAGGGUGAUAGUCCCGUACACGAAAGCACACAUGCUGUGAACUCGAAGAGUAGGGCGGGACACGUGGUAUCCUGUCUGAAUAUGGGGGGACCAUCCUCCAAGGCUAAAUACUCCUGACUGACCGAUAGUGAACCAGUACCGUGAGGGAAAGGCGAAAAGAACCCCGGCGAGGGGAGUGAAAAAGAACCUGAAACCGUGUACGUACAAGCAGUGGGAGCCUCUUUAUGGGGUGACUGCGUACCUUUUGUAUAAUGGGUCAGCGACUUAUAUUCUGUAGCAAGGUUAACCGUAUAGGGGAGCCGAAGGGAAACCGAGUCUUAACUGGGCGUUAAGUUGCAGGGUAUAGACCCGAAACCCGGUGAUCUAGCCAUGGGCAGGUUGAAGGUUGGGUAACACUAACUGGAGGACCGAACCGACUAAUGUUGAAAAAUUAGCGGAUGACCUGUGGCUGGGGGUGAAAGGCCAAUCAAACCGGGAGAUAGCUGGUUCUCCCCGAAAGCUAUUUAGGUAGCGCCUCGUGAAUUCAUCUUCGGGGGUAGAGCACUGUUUCGGCUAGGGGGCCAUCCCGGCUUACCAACCCGAUGCAAACUACGAAUACCGAAGAAUGUUAUCACGGGAGACACACGGCGGGUGCUAACGUCCGUCGUGAAGAGGGAAACAACCCAGACCGCCAGCUAAGGUCCCAAAGUCAUGGUUAAGUGGGAAACGAUGUGGGAAGGCACAGACAGCCAGGAUGUUGGCUUAGAAGCAGCCAUCAUUUAAAGAAAGCGUAAUAGCUCACUGGUCGAGUCGGCCUGCGCGGAAGAUGUAACGGGGCUAAACCAUGCACCGAAGCUGCGGCAGCGACGCUUAUGCGUUGUUGGGUAGGGGAGCGUUCUGUAAGCCGUCGAAGGUGUCCUGUGAGGGGUGCUGGAGGUAUCAGAAGUGCGAAUGCUGACAUAAGUAACGAUAAAGCGGGUGAAAAGCCCGCUCGCCGGAAGACCAAGGGUUCCUGUCCAACGUUAAUCGGGGCAGGGUGAGUCGACCCCUAAGGCGAGGCCGAAAGGCGUAGUCGAUGGGAAACAGGUUAAUAUUCCUGUACUUGGUGUUACUGCGAAGGGGGGACGGAGAAGGCUAUGUCAGCCGGGCGACGGUUGUCCCGGUUUAAGCAUGUAGGCGGAGGUUCCAGGUAAAUCCGGUACCUUGUUAACGCUGAGGUGUGAUGACGAGGCACUACGGUGCUGAAGUGAUAAAUGCCCUGCUUCCAGGAAAAGCCUCUAAGCAUCAGGUAACACGAAAUCGUACCCCAAACCGACACAGGUGGUCAGGUAGAGAAUACCAAGGCGCUUGAGAGAACUCGGGUGAAGGAACUAGGCAAAAUGGUGCCGUAACUUCGGGAGAAGGCACGCUGAUAUGUAGGUGAAGUCCCUGCGGACGGAGCUGAAAUCAGUCGAAGAUACCAGCUGGCUGCAACUGUUUAUUAAAAACACAGCACUGUGCAAACACGAAAGUGGACGUAUACGGUGUGACGCCUGCCCGGUGCCGGAAGGUUAAUUGAUGGGGUUAGCGGCAACGCGAAGCUCUUGAUCGAAGCCCCGGUAAACGGCGGCCGUAACUAUAACGGUCCUAAGGUAGCGAAAUUCCUUGUCGGGUAAGUUCCGACCUGCACGAAUGGCGUAAUGAUGGCCAGGCUGUCUCCACCCGAGACUCAGUGAAAUUGAACUCGCUGUGAAGAUGCAGUGUACCCGCGGCAAGACGGAAAGACCCCGUGAACCUUUACUAUAGCUUGACACUGAACACUGGUCCUUGAUGUGUAGGAUAGGUGGGAGGCUUUGAAGCGUGGACGCCAGUCUGCGUGGAGCCAACCUUGAAAUACCACCCUUUAAUGGCUGGUGUUCUAACGUAGACCCGUAAUCCGGGUUGCGGACAGUGUCUGGUGGGUAGUUUGACUGGGGCGGUCUCCUCCCAAAGAGUAACGGAGGAGCACGAAGGUUGGCUAAUCCUGGUCGGACAUCAGGAGGUUAGUGCAAUGGCAUAAGCCAGCUUGACUGCGAGCGUGACGGCGCGAGCAGGUGCGAAAGCAGGUCAUAGUGAUCCGGUGGUUCUGAAUGGAAGGGCCAUCGCUCAACGGAUAAAAGGUACUCCGGGGAUAACAGGCUGAUACCGCCCAAGAGUUCAUAUCGACGGCGGUGUUUGGCACCUCGAUGUCGGCUCAUCACAUCCUGGGGCUGAAGUAGGUCCCAAGGGUAUGGCUGUUCGCCAUUUAAAGUGGUACGCGAGCUGGGUUUAGAACGUCGUGAGACAGUUCGGUCCCUAUCUGCCGUGGGCGCUGGAGAAUUGAGGGGGGCUGCUCCUAGUACGAGAGGACCGGAGUGGACGCAUCACUGGUGUUCGGGUUGUCAUGCCAAUGGCACUGCCCGGUAGCUAAAUGCGGAAGAGAUAAGUGCUGAAAGCAUCUAAGCACGAAACUUGCCCCGAGAUGAGUUCUCCCUGAGACUUUAAGUCUCCUGAAGGAACGUUGAAGACGACGACGUUGAUAGGUCGGGUGUGUAAGCGCAGCGAUGCGUUGAGCUAACCGAUACUAAUGAACCGUGAGGCUUAACCUU
Molecule: ribosomal RNA, 2904 nt
Filed under: Enterobacter hormaechei
Lineage: Bacteria; Pseudomonadati; Pseudomonadota; Gammaproteobacteria; Enterobacterales; Enterobacteriaceae
Description: 23S ribosomal RNA
Rfam family: Bacterial large subunit ribosomal RNA
Source: RNAcentral